UACAGAGGGGGCAAGCGUUUGUUCGGAAUUACUGGGCGUAAAGCGCGCGUAGACGGCUUUGCAAGUCGGGUGUGAAAUCCCCAGGCUUAACCUGGGAACUGCAUUCGAGACUGCAUUGCUAGAGUAUGGGAGAGGGAAGUGGAAUUUCAGGUGUAGCGGUGAAAUGCGUAGAUAUCUGAAGGAACAUCAGUGGCGAAAGCGACUUCCUGGACCAAUACUGACGCUCAUGUGCGAAAGCGUGGGGAGCAAACAGG
RNAcentral lists this ribosomal RNA (254 nucleotides) under uncultured bacterium. Its description in RNAcentral is "partial 16S ribosomal RNA". It matches the Rfam family "Bacterial small subunit ribosomal RNA", at positions 524 to 776 of the family's 1533-position model. The record is from RNAcentral.